GCCAGGUCGCGGCGGAGGAUCUGGAGCUGAGCCCACGCAGUUGAGGUUGAGGAAGAAGGAGACGAGGGAAGCAGCAACAAGACUGCUGGCUGGUGACGGGUCAGCGGCCACGAGAGGAGGGGGAAGGGGGACGACGUCAUGCUUUCUCGCCACCUGCACGUCCUCGUCCCAUAGUCCGCUGCUCCUUGUCUGCGCCGUUUCAACUCCAGCUGCAGCAGACAGGGAGGCAGAAGAGAGGACAUGCUGAAGAAUGAAGGUGGACAAACCAGGUGCACAUGAACAGCAAGGCAUGUUUGGCGUCGUACUUGACCGUGCUGCAGAACAACAUCUUGUGGU
Triticum dicoccoides is the source of this 336-nucleotide long non-coding RNA. RefSeq lists it as uncharacterized. The transcript is spliced from 3 exons. NCBI's taxonomy places the organism in Eukaryota, Viridiplantae, Streptophyta, Magnoliopsida, Poales, Poaceae. The record is from RefSeq and is a predicted model, not a curated record.